Long non-coding RNA from Suricata suricatta (meerkat), 556 nucleotides. RefSeq lists it as uncharacterized. The record is from RefSeq and is a predicted model, not a curated record. The transcript has 3 exons. Lineage: Eukaryota; Metazoa; Chordata; Mammalia; Carnivora; Herpestidae.
CCAGCCUGUCGUCUGUGGUCCUACGUCUGGACUCGAAAGGCAGACGCACGUGCCUUCUCAGAUCUCCUGCUAGGACUGUGCAAGGACAGAAGUGCAGCCCAGAAGGCAGAGGAGACCACUGGUGUAACCCGCCAGGAACAGCCUCCUGGAUCUGCAAUGGCAAACAAGACAUCUGGCAACAUCCUUCCUUUGGCUCGUCAGUAUCCAUUUCUGUUUGUGGGAAAAGUUUGUGUCUCCGUCACAGGGAAUCCAUGAGAUCUCUUCAGCUGCUGAAUCAUCAUGGAGUGAUGUCAACUCCGUCAUACCUAUGUCUGGAACUAAAACACUGGUAGUGACUGGGGUUCUCCCAGGCAGCUGGGAGAAAAAGCCAAAGGAAAAAAAAAGAGGAACAGAACAGCAGUUGAUACAGUCCUUACAUCUGUAACUAGACACAGCAUAGAUUGGGAAUCAUUCAUUUUUGAUUUGGAUACGUUUGCAAGCCCUACGUGAUGUACCCCUGGUGCAGUCCUGUGAGACAUGACCUCUGCAGAUUGCUAAACUGUACAAAACUUCUAAA